ACUGUGCACAAAGAAUCGCAAAUGAAGUCUACAAACGGAAGAAUUUCAUUUCUUCAUUACACAAAUUUUGCUUUAGGGAAAGGUAAUACAAUCUUAUGUAUAUUUAAUUUAACCAGAAAGUCCCCGGACAACUCUUUUUUAGAGUUCAAGCGGAAACGCUCCAAAAUAGAAACUUGGAAGUCUCUCCAUAGUUAGUCCUAAUAUAUUUUUUAUAUCCUUAUAGUUUUUUCUGUGGUUUUUAAAACUAUAGGACUUAAGUUUAUAUACUAUUUAGUCCUUUUAUCCUUAAUGGAAAGACAAAGAUAUGAGUCUUGGACUUAUAGAUUAUGAACUAAGACUAUUUUUUCAUAAAGACCAAUAAAGAAAUAACGAAAUCAUUUAGGAGGAAAAAUUAUUAGGGCUACUUUUUAUGGAUGGUGAGUCAUUUUUUGUCAAAGUAAAUAGUUAUGCGGUUAUUUCCUUGAUUUUAGAAAAGGAUUUAACAUAAUGGGGCUUACUCUUGAUGCACAG
Molecule: non-coding RNA, 510 nt
Organism: Pneumocystis jirovecii
Lineage: Eukaryota; Fungi; Ascomycota; Pneumocystomycetes; Pneumocystales; Pneumocystaceae
Source: Rfam